AUAGGGUCUAGACCUGGCAUAUCUUCAUACGACCAUGCAAAAAUAUCCGGAUAUUCCCGGAGGAGCUGGAUGAUCUUCUGUUUAACCCCUUCCUCUAGAGUAGCACCAAUCUUGAUUUCUUGCUUGUUUUCCUCGGUACCUAUAUUGAUAAGCUCAAUCUCUUCCUGG
This 168-nucleotide microRNA precursor is filed under the name Medicago truncatula (barrel medic). Its description in RNAcentral is "MIR2680 microRNA precursor family". It matches the Rfam family "MIR2680 microRNA precursor family". The record is from Rfam by way of RNAcentral. Lineage: Eukaryota; Viridiplantae; Streptophyta; Magnoliopsida; Fabales; Fabaceae.